GAAGUGAAGAAGGUGGAGAACAAGGUGUGAGCAAGUGUAAGGAGCUGUCGCUGUAGAGGCUGCGAUGGCCAUGGCGCAGCAGCAUCAGGAGGCCAUGGUGGCAGCAGCGGCGGGGAUGGGGUCGACGGGGAUGGAGCAGCAACAGAGAAGGCCAUGGACCGAGGGAACUUUUUUCCUCGAAGCUUCAGUGCGAGAGAUGGGAGGCAGUCAUCGAUCGAUUUGUUUAUUCCGGAGCCAAAUUUGGCGUCGGAACACGUACUUGCUCCGGUGCCAAAUCUCACAGUGUUGAAUAGAGGUGUCAAAUGCCAAAUUGCAAUUUGGCACCUCUAUUUGGCACACACCGUGGAGUCCCUAACACUAGAGUAUUUCGGAGAGGCUGCGAGUUGCCAAAAAGAAGCUCAUGAACCACCAAGCUUGUUUCGUCCCCUGAAAGCAGCCGAGAGCUGAGACCAUCUACGACGCCCUCGGCUCAUCGGUCUCACUUGGCUGUUAGAAUUCCUAGCGGCCUGGUCCUCCCUACAAGUCAACCAUUACAGAUAUCCUAAAGUUCAACUUCCAAAUACAUGCCAUUACGACAGAGAACAUUUCGCACUUGCAAACAAUUGAUGGCGACGUUCCAGCGCGUGAGGGGGUGGCAAUAAAAUACUGAGCAAGCUGACAAACCAAAAUAUCCUGUGAGCUCUAUUUUUCGAUACUGAGCUUGUUGCAAAAUCCGCACUCAAGAUUCGUGGGAUACGUGCGUUGAUUCUUUACUAUAGACGCGUUUAAUUGAUUAUAGCAAGAAGUGCCAUAUGACGCUUUUAGCACAUGUUAUUGUACUGGCCAAAAGAUAUAUUAAGUUGCCUAAUUUUAACCA
Molecule: long non-coding RNA, 856 nt
Organism: Brachypodium distachyon (stiff brome)
Lineage: Eukaryota; Viridiplantae; Streptophyta; Magnoliopsida; Poales; Poaceae
Exons: 2
Source: RefSeq, a predicted model, not a curated record